AACGAACGCUGGCAGCAUGCCUAACACAUGCAAGUCGAACGAGACCUUCGGGUCUAGUGGCGCACGGGUGCGUAACGCGUGGGAACCUGCCUUUAGGUUCGGAAUAACUCAGAGAAAUUUGAGCUAAUACCGGAUGAUGUCUUCGGACCAAAGAUUUAUCGCCUUUAGAUGGGCCCGCGUUGGAUUAGCUAGUUGGUGGGGUAAAGGCCUACCAAGGCGACGAUCCAUAGCUGGUCUGAGAGGAUGAUCAGCCACACUGGGACUGAGACACGGCCCAGACUCCUACGGGAGGCAGCAGUGGGGAAUAUUGGACAAUGGGCGAAAGCCUGAUCCAGCAAUGCCGCGUGAGUGAUGAAGGCCUUAGGGUUGUAAAGCUCUUUUACCCGAGAUGAUAAUGACAGUAUCGGGAGAAUAAGCUCCGGCUAACUCCGUG
RNAcentral lists this ribosomal RNA (433 nucleotides) under uncultured bacterium. RNAcentral describes it as "partial 16S ribosomal RNA". It matches the Rfam family "Bacterial small subunit ribosomal RNA", at positions 29 to 507 of the family's 1533-position model. The record is from RNAcentral.